UACGUAGGGGGCAAGCGUUAUCCGGAUUCACUGGGUGUAAAGGGAGCGUAGACGGCGACGCAAGUCUGGAGUGAAAGCCCGGGGCCCAACCCCGGGACUGCUCUGGAAACUGCGUCGCUGGAGUACGGGAGGGGCAGGCGGAAUUCCUGGUGUAGCGGUGAAAUGCGUAGAUAUCGGGAGGAACACCGGCGGCGAAGGCGGCCUGCUGGACCGUGACUGACGUUGAGGCUCGAGAGCGUGGGGAGCAAACAGG
Molecule: ribosomal RNA, 253 nt
Filed under: uncultured bacterium
Lineage: Bacteria
Description: partial 16S ribosomal RNA
Rfam family: Bacterial small subunit ribosomal RNA
Source: RNAcentral